RNAcentral lists this ribosomal RNA (921 nucleotides) under Paradilepis sp. ECR-2020. Its description in RNAcentral is "partial large subunit ribosomal RNA". It matches the Rfam family "Eukaryotic large subunit ribosomal RNA", at positions 437 to 919 of the family's 3401-position model. Lineage: Eukaryota; Metazoa; Platyhelminthes; Cestoda; Cyclophyllidea; Gryporhynchidae. The record is from RNAcentral.
AUAAUCGCAGACGGUUUGAAUGAAUGACGUAGUGAUGCCUCCGUGCUGCUGCGUGUUAUCGUGCCUUCGUUCGUUGUAAAUGAGAGACAGUCAAUAGCUGGGAGGUGCGGUAACUCACUCCUUUCUUUGGUUACUUGGUGGACUAUGGUGGUGAAAAUGACUGUGCAAGGCACCGGGGUUAACCGCCUCAGUGCUGUUGUUUUUGUAGCAGCAGCAAUAUGGUAUCCGGCACGCACGUUACAGGUGUUGUUGUUGUUGUUUCGGUAAUGCGUGGCUGUCUGUGGGUGUUGGAUCUGACUGUCAGGUUGCCUGCAAAAAGGUAGGCCUGGCAGUGGUUGCAGACGCCUUGCAGUGUGCAGCCUACGCUGCUAUCGAAGUGCCUGUGGUACUGGGGGCGAAAUAGUCAGUGGUGCUGUGGUAGACGAGCUACCCGACCCGUCUUGAAACACGGACCAAGGAGUUUAACAUGUAUGCGAGUCAAAGGGUCCUACGAAACCCCUAGGCGCAGUGAAAGUGAAGUUCGUGUUGCAUCAUCAGUGCGCGCGCGCACACAUGCAGCAAUGCGUGUGUGUGGCAGACAUGCAAGGCAGUACGAUGUGGUGAGAUCCCGCUGUGCAAUUUGUCACGCGCACAAUAGCCAGGUGUUGUUUUAUAAUCGCCAGGCGUAAGGGCAGUGGGCGCAUCACCGGCCCGUCCCAUGAUGUGGUCGUAGGUUGGUUGGUUGGUUGGUUGGUUGGUAGGUUAAUACUACCGCCUGCCUGCCUCCCUCUUCGGCCUACGCGCCAUCGGGGCGGAGCAUGAGCAUACAUGUUGAGACCCGAAAGAUGGUGAACUAUGCUUGCGUAGGUUGAAGCCAGAGGAAACUCUGGUGGAGGACCGUAGCGAUUCUGACGUGCAAAUCGAUCGUCAAACGUGAGUAUA